AGAACCGUAAGAAGAGAUCUCCACCCUUGGAUCAAUCUUAAUUGAAUGUCAACACUAAUGAGGUGCAACGAGAUGCACCAGACCAAAUCCCUUCUAAAACGGAAUUCAUGGUGGGCAUGAGAUCAAAAGUGAUCAAGGGUUCAGAUCUCUUCUUAUGCUUCU
RNAcentral lists this non-coding RNA (162 nucleotides) under Cynara cardunculus (cardoon). RNAcentral also lists the same sequence under 1 other name. The record is from miRBase by way of RNAcentral. Lineage: Eukaryota; Viridiplantae; Streptophyta; Magnoliopsida; Asterales; Asteraceae.